This 462-nucleotide ribosomal RNA is filed under the name uncultured bacterium. Its description in RNAcentral is "partial 16S ribosomal RNA". It matches the Rfam family "Bacterial small subunit ribosomal RNA", at positions 28 to 507 of the family's 1533-position model. The record is from RNAcentral.
GACGAACGCUGGCGGCGUGCUUAACACAUGCAAGUCGAACGGAAAGGCCCUUCGGGGUACUCGAGUGGCGAACGGGUGAGUAACACGUGGGUGAUCUGCCCUGCACUUUGGGAUAAGCCUGGGAAACUGGGUCUAAUACCGAAUAUGAUCAUCGGCUUCAUGGUCGGUGGUGGAAAGCUUUUGCGGUGUGGGAUGGGCCCGCGGCCUAUCAGCUUGUUGGUGGGGUAAUGGCCUACCAAGGCGACGACGGGUAGCCGGCCUGAGAGGGUGACUGGCCACACUGGGACUGAGAUACGGCCCAGACUCCUACGGGAGGCAGCAGUGGGGAAUAUUGCACAAUGGGCGCAAGCCUGAUGCAGCGACGCCGCGUGAGGGAUGACGGCCUUCGGGUUGUAAACCUCUUUCAGCACAGACGAAGCGCAAGUGACGGUAUGUGCAGAAGAAGGACCGGCCAACUACGUG